UCACCCCUCAAGCCCUGUGCUUGGUGUUGGACGGUCGGUCGCGCCCCGCGACCCCUCCUAAAAACAAAGACGGCGGCCUGUGGUUCCCCCGGUACACUGAGUGCUUCGACACACGUAUCGGACAAGGGCGCCCAGGUCCCGGUCCUCUCCUUAACCGGAACUAUUUUACAA
Molecule: unclassified non-coding RNA, 171 nt
Filed under: uncultured Chaetothyriales
Lineage: Eukaryota; Fungi; Ascomycota; Eurotiomycetes; Chaetothyriales
Description: sequence contains ITS2
Source: RNAcentral